This 510-nucleotide ribosomal RNA is filed under the name uncultured bacterium. RNAcentral's name for it is "partial 16S ribosomal RNA". It matches the Rfam family "Bacterial small subunit ribosomal RNA", at positions 28 to 507 of the family's 1533-position model. The record is from RNAcentral.
GACGAACGCUGGCGGCGUGCUUAACACAUGCAAGUCGAACGAAGAGCGAUGGAAGCUUGCUUCUAUCAAUCUUAGUGGCGAACGGGUGAGUAACGCGUAAUCAACCUGCCCUUCAGAGGGGGACAACAGUUGGAAACGACUGCUAAUACCGCAUACGAUCUAAUCUCGGCAUCGAGGAUAGAUGAAAGGUGGCCUCUACAUGUAAGCUAUCACUGAAGGAGGGGAUUGCGUCUGAUUAGCUAGUUGGAGGGGUAACGGCCCACCAAGGCGAUGAUCAGUAGCCGGUCUGAGAGGAUGAACGGCCACAUUGGGACUGAGACACGGCCCAGACUCCUACGGGAGGCAGCAGUGGGGAAUCUUCCGCAAUGGACGAAAGUCUGACGGAGCAACGCCGCGGGAGUGAUGACGGCCUUCGGGUUGUAAAGCUCUGUUAAUCGGGACGAAAGGCCUUCUUGCGAAUAGUGAGAAGGAUUGACGGUACCGGAAUAGAAAGCCACGGCUAACUACGUG